UGUGUGUGUGUGUACGUGAAAGGAAGAAGAAGAAGAUGGAGGAUUGGGCAAAGCUGCCCAAUCGGAACAGGAGAGAGGGAGGAGUUGGGCCAACCAGAAAGAAGAGAAAGUGGAGGACCAAUCAGAGGGAGAAGAAAGGAGGAAAGGAGAGAGGGCAAGAAGCGGAGGAGAGAAGGAAGGAAACGGGUUUUCCCCCAACCCGUUUACCCGCGCACCCACCUCCAUUUUUCCGACGAUUUUCACCGGAUUUCUCACGAAUUGGAUCAAGGUACCACUCCCAAUCAACACCUAGGCCUUCCCUCUUCAUUUUUCACCCAAAAAUCAUGAAAUUUGAUGGUGAUUUGGUGAAAACCGCACCCGUGGGUGCCGCGACUUUUUGUUCAAAUUGUUCAAAUAUUGAAAUGUUUUCUUUCAAUUACUAACACCAUUAGCAUUCCCCUAGGACCUGGAACAAAGCCCAAGCAUUGGUUGGGACGGCGGAAUUGAUUUGAAGGUCGAAUUGAAAACAUCCAAUUCUAGGGUUCUUCACGGUUUUGGUGAAAUUGGAGCUCUUCCAGGCCAAAUUGGCC
This 569-nucleotide long non-coding RNA is filed under the name Malus domestica (apple). Its description in RNAcentral is "long non-coding RNA (MDOM_LNC010790)". Lineage: Eukaryota; Viridiplantae; Streptophyta; Magnoliopsida; Rosales; Rosaceae. The record is from RNAcentral.